GCUCAGGUGGUGGAAUUGGUAGACAUGCACGCUUGAGGGGCGUGUGCCGUGAGGCGUAUGGGUUCGAGUCCCAUCUUGAGCACCA
This 85-nucleotide transfer RNA is filed under the name Puniceicoccales bacterium. RNAcentral describes it as "tRNA-Leu". It matches the Rfam family "tRNA". From Rfam's summary of the family: Transfer RNA (tRNA) molecules are approximately 80 nucleotides in length. Their secondary structure includes four short double-helical elements and three loops (D, anti-codon, and T loops). Further hydrogen bonds mediate the characteristic L-shaped molecular structure. tRNAs have two regions of fundamental functional importance: the anti-codon, which is responsible for specific mRNA codon recognition, and the 3' end, to which the tRNAs corresponding amino acid is attached (by aminoacyl-tRNA synthetases). tRNAs cope with the degeneracy of the genetic code in two manners: having more than one tRNA (with a specific anti-codon) for a particular amino acid; and 'wobble' base-pairing, i.e. permitting non-standard base-pairing at the 3rd anti-codon position. Lineage: Bacteria; Pseudomonadati; Verrucomicrobiota; Opitutia; Puniceicoccales. The record is from RNAcentral.